AUGUCUUAAAGAAAAUAAUUUUAAGUCUAAUCUGCUCAAUGAUAUUAAUUAAAUAGCUGCAGUAUAUUGACUGUACAAAGGUAGCAUAAUCAAUAGUUUUUUAAUUGAAAGCUGGAAUGAAAGAUUUAAUAAGGUAAAUAUUGUCUCUAAAUUAAUAAUAUUAUAAUUUUUUAUUUAGUUAAAAAACUAAAAUAAAUUUAAAAGACGAGAAGACCCUAUAGAUUUUUAUAUUUAUUUAUAUUAUAAAUUUAAAUUAUUAAUAGUAUUAUUUAAAUAUUUAUUAGGUUGGGGUAAUUAUUAAAUUAGGAUAAUUUUAAUUAAAUUUAGACUAAAAUUAUAGAAUUUUUGAUUUUAAUUAAAAAUUAAAAGAAUAAAAUACCUUAGGGAUAACAGCGUAAUUUUUUUGGAGAGAUCAUAUUGAUAAAAAAGUUUGCGACCUCGAUGUUGAAUUAAGAAUAAAUAUUAAUGGAGAAAUUAAUAAAUUUGGUCUGUUCGACCAUUAAAUUCUUACGUGAUCUGA
This 520-nucleotide ribosomal RNA is filed under the name Lymeon cinctiventris. RNAcentral describes it as "partial 16S large subunit ribosomal RNA". The stretch from base 386 to 520 matches the Rfam family "Archaeal large subunit ribosomal RNA", at positions 2542 to 2677 of the family's 2987-position model. Lineage: Eukaryota; Metazoa; Arthropoda; Insecta; Hymenoptera; Ichneumonidae. The record is from RNAcentral.